Rosa rugosa (rugosa rose) is the source of this 1964-nucleotide long non-coding RNA. RefSeq lists it as uncharacterized. NCBI's taxonomy places the organism in Eukaryota, Viridiplantae, Streptophyta, Magnoliopsida, Rosales, Rosaceae. The transcript has 3 exons. The record is from RefSeq and is a predicted model, not a curated record.
CACGAUAGUAGGAGCGAGUACGAAGCUUGGAAAAGUUGUGGAAUUAGUUCGAACGAUUUUAUUUUCGAAAACGAACGUUUUUAGGGGGUCAACAAAGUUGACUUUUUAUACGUUCAAAAUUUUGGAAAACUUCCUUCAUGAAAGUUGUAGAGCUCGUCGAUACGAGUUCGUGGACAUGUGGAACGCAUUAUUUGGAGUUCGUAUGAAUAAGUUAUGAAUAUUUUAAAAUUGAGAAUUUUCUAUAAAUACAAAAAAUCAGAUUUCUCAAUAAGGAAACCCGAAAAUUUCCAGAUUUUUCUCCUCCUCGCUGCCUUGGCUUCACGGCGUCGCCACGACUUCAUCCGGCCACCUAUGGCCAUGAAAUUGAUAUCAAUCUCUUCACCUUGAAACCAGCUUUCCAUUCAUAUAUGUCUUGCAUCCUAUCAUUCACCAUAGACAACGAAUCGAAGCAAAGAAGGUCAGACCAUUUUUCAUGCAUUUCUUCAAAUUCCAGCCAACUCCGGCAAAGGUAGGAGGGGAGACCAACUGGGCUUUGUUCGCCUUGCCAUGCUCUAUAAACUCACCAAGUUUCACAUCUCGAUUCAACCCGAGGAAGACGAAUUUCAGAUUUGAGCGAUUUUGGGCGAUUUCGGCCUCUUUCUUCUUGAGGUGAUUGGCGGAUUGAUUUGGCGGACGAUUCGUAAAAUCGUUGUUGAGCUGUUUAGAAGACGCAGCGGGAUUAUCGAGCGGGUAAUCCUACAGGACAGGAGAACCAGGACGGUGAUCGUGCGGUUAGAGCAAUUGUUAGAGUUUUACAACAAUUGUAAGUUGUGAGGUGUGUUAUGCUCAUUUGAGCUUUAUAAUAUAUUGUGAGAGUGAAUUGUAAUAAUGAACUCGAAGUUUCGAGAUUUGUUUUUUUGUAAUUGUAAUUAUUCAGGUUUCGGAUUUGAAUUUAUCAUUCAAAAUCCGGGGCGUGACAGUUUGGUAUCAGAGCGUAAGGUGCAUAUUUGGUGAUGUGUCAAUACCUUCCGAGUGAUGGCCCGUCUGCAGCGGAUCCCCAUCGUGUGCUCUUUGGUAUUGGCUAAGUCAUUGGGUAUGCGUGAGUGUUGGGAGUUGUUUAGGCCGCUAGGUCGUUUAGGGAACGUGAAUACAUUCCCUAUAGUAUUGACUUGGUUAAUAUGAAUUUGUAUUUGACUUAUACUGUGUUUUAAGUGUUAUACAUGUAUUAGCCAAGCAUACUAUACUCCUUAGGUGAUGGAGAUUCGAAGGGGUUGUACUUAGAACCUUACAGUUGUCUUGUAGGUUCGUAUUGGAAUAAGUUCAGUGGCCGCGAGUUACAAUCCUUGAGGAAUAGGAACCUCUUGAUUCAACUCUGUUAAGUCAACGAGGAUUGUUGUAUGGAAGUGAGGUUCUUUUGGAUGUUGAAGUGUUUGGUUGAAGGCAUGAUGUGGACCUAUGCACGUACCUAGUGUGGAUACGAGUAUUAAUGGAUAGAAAGUUGCCUUCUUAAGUUGGACGUACAUAUGUUUUUGGAUGAGAUGUACAUGUCAAAUAAUAGAUAUCUUGUUUUGUAAUGAGAUGUCCUUGUGGAGUUUGUUAGUAGGGUUGAGGUUAGGGAAGAAAUUAUUGUGGUUACUUCUUCCUUGUGCUUGUAAGUUGUUAAGCAGGGUUUAAGGUGCGAGACAAGAAUUUUAUUUUGUGCUCGAUGGUUAGAGAUGAGAGACCAUUGUUUUGGGUUGUCGUUGAGUACUAUAAUUCCUUCAGAAUCAGGAUUGUUGGUAGAAUUGGAAUUAGUAGUAGUUUUGGUGAUUCUGAAUUUGAAUUGAGUUCGCGAGAUGUGUCUUAUAUACGUGGUUGAUGUUACUUGCAUCAUUUUGGAACGAUACGUUACGAUUCACAAGGAAAACUGGAUUUGAAAUUUAUUCAUUUGAACACCAUGGGUUGAUGACCUGACCGUGACUUGUGAAUAUAGUUUUGUUCAAGUG